UAUUAAUAAUAAUUUUCAAGAAUAAUGUCUCCGAAGAGAGCAUGGAGGUUAAUCACCAACUUGGCUAUGGCAAUGGUGCCCAUAAAAUGGGUGCAAAUAUCCUUUGUAUGUAAGAUCAAAAUAUGGAUAUUCAUCUUGAUCUCCAUCAAGCUCAAUGUUGAUACUAUCACCUUCCACUCACACACUUCUUUGUCAACCAGCAUUGCAUCAAGUCAAGUCAAGUCAAUGCUAUUACAAUGACUUGUUUAUGUUGUCAUGCAGCAAUGCUUAGUUUCAAGAAAAAAAAGGAAUCACCAUUCUAUAACCAAAACAAAAACAUAUCAUGAGGGAGGUGAAUCCAAACCUGCAAUAUGAAGCAAUUUUUUUGAUGAAGAUUUUUUGAUGCUAUGAACCAUCUCAAUUGAUGCAAAAUUUGCUUUGCAGUAUCUCACCAUCUACUUUCUAGUCACAUUUCCAUCAUCCAUUCUCUGUUUUGCUUCAUUGAUUAUUGUUCUUCUGGUUAUUGUACUACCUUUGAAAUUUACAUUGAUUCUUUCAAUUGGAUCUCUCAUAUUCAAAUGAUUCACAAAUCCUUUCUCAAAGCAAGUGUUUGGCUUUUGUUGUGUCUUGUAUCAAAAGGGGUCAAUGUUCAUUUCUUGAAACAAUUGUAUUGUUGAUAUUCAUAAUUGUAAGUUGGAUGAUUUUUUUGGCUUAGUUCCCUACAUACAACAAUUUUGGAUAUGCAAUUAUCAUCUAUUUGGCAUCUUAGGUCUUGCAAUGAACGCCAAUUGGUGAUGUGGCUUCUUGACUGCGGUGGUGUACAAUGGAUCAGAGAUGCUUGUGAUUAUAUGAAAUCAUAUGAUAUUAUCGCCGCAAGAAUUGAACAUUAUCAAGUUGAUAUAAGUGCAUCUCACUACAAAUUGAUCCAUCAAUCCAUCACCGUGAUAUUAUAACUUAUAUCUUUGCACUUGCCCUAUAAACACUACCUUCCCUCAACUCUUUGUUAUACACAACUUUAAGCAUACCUACAUUAUUUCAUACUAUAGAAGUAUAAUUGUGAUCUUUGUAAUUUGUUAGUGGUUUUCUUCAUAGAUUUGUGGAAGGAAGAAUUCCCAUUGGGUUGUGAUCCAAUUCAUGGAGGAGGAGUAGCUUGCAUCGUUUGAAGUAGUGAAUGAGAUUAGGAUGUUGAUUUUAAAACAAUUGCAGUAUAAUAUCAUGGUUGUUUUUACUGGUCAUUCCACGUAUGCUUUGAUGAGAUUGAGGAUGCAUUAGAAUCUCAAGGAAAUUCAUCUCUUACAUCAAGUAUUGAGAGGAGAUAUUAAUAGUCUAUUUACUACCUUUGAUAUUUCAUUGGAAGGCACAAUUACACAAAUGAGAUAGAUAAUAAGAGAAUCAUGCAAACGAAUUUAUAUGCAAAUGGAAUAAGUGACAAUGCGAGAAGUAGGGUUGGAACAAGGAAUAGGAUUGGGGAGGUUGGAAAGGAGGAUAGGGUUGGAGGGAUGAGAAUGUGUGGAACUACGAGAACAAAGAUGUAGGAUAGAAAGGUGCAAUCAUAUUCUAGAUAGGUGAGUUGAUUUAGUAAACAUUUGGAUCGCUUUAUUAUUUUCCAAUGUGUAUAUAUAUAUAUAUGCAUACACUUAUCCAUUUAAAGGAUAAGAAAUAAAUUGUGUGAUUUUGAUCUAUAAAGUUUUUAGUGAAUGAUAGAUUAUUAAAGGUUGUUGUUUGAAGUGCAUUUAACAAGUUUGGUUUAAUUUUGGAAUUGUUGCAUCAAAUGAGUAAUUCAUAUGAUGACAAAUGAUAAGAUA
This 1784-nucleotide long non-coding RNA is filed under the name Physcomitrium patens. Its description in RNAcentral is "long non-coding RNA (PPAT_LNC003651)". Lineage: Eukaryota; Viridiplantae; Streptophyta; Bryopsida; Funariales; Funariaceae. The record is from RNAcentral.